AGAGUAAGAGCAUUUACGUUAAGUGCUGCCUGAACGGAGAGUUGUCUGGCGGACGAAAAGCUUAUGCUUGCGGUUUAUGCUCUGCAUCUCGCU
This 93-nucleotide non-coding RNA is filed under the name uncultured Ruminococcus sp. Its description in RNAcentral is "THF riboswitch". It matches the Rfam family "THF (Tetrahydrofolate) riboswitch aptamer". From Rfam's summary of the family: THF riboswitch presents a pseudoknot that joins P1-P2 and the loop of P3 and two THF binding. The record is from RNAcentral. Lineage: Bacteria; Bacillati; Bacillota; Clostridia; Eubacteriales; Oscillospiraceae.